CUGGGACACUCUCCACCUAAAAUACAACCCCUUGAGGUGCUGAGGAACAUUCCAGAGGCUUCUUCCACUUGCCAGCCUUUCAGCUAUUUACAGAACUUUCCAGAGCAGGUUAUCUGCGACGGAAGCAGUGAUGCAGCACCCACAUGUCCCAGAGGAAGGGUUGUCAGCUGACAGCUCACAGCUGGAUCACGCUGGGGGAUUUUUUCUUUCCCCUGGGAGAAAAUGUAUCUACUGACUGAUUGAGAUGGGGAACAGAAGCCUGGCCCUUUGCGUAUCUGGGCUGCUGACGCAAUAAAAUGGAGACGCUGUGACCUGCUGUCAGGGCUUUCACAACUGGUCCCGCAUGACCAUCCUGCCUGACAACCUCCGCUUGGCUUCAGCCUUUCUUUUGCUGGAUGAUUUCAGCAAGUCAGACCCUCUGCCUGCAUUUGCCUUCUCGUUUAUAAACCAAAGACAGGAUUAUUGUGAGAAUCAAAGAAAAUAAUGGAUAUAAGCA
Molecule: long non-coding RNA, 496 nt
Organism: Cercocebus atys (sooty mangabey)
Lineage: Eukaryota; Metazoa; Chordata; Mammalia; Primates; Cercopithecidae
Exons: 3
Source: RefSeq, a predicted model, not a curated record